Long non-coding RNA from Capsicum annuum, 2801 nucleotides. RefSeq lists it as uncharacterized. The record is from RefSeq and is a predicted model, not a curated record. Lineage: Eukaryota; Viridiplantae; Streptophyta; Magnoliopsida; Solanales; Solanaceae. The transcript has 3 exons.
UCCGAACCUCCUGGACUCCAUGUAGAUCCGCCAGUGUCUCUAUAGUUGUAAUUUGCUCCAAAAAACUAUACCUUAAUUUAACUUUGCUCUUGCUGCAAUGAGACAUUAAAUUAGUUUACACCUGAUAUAGUGCUUACAACAGGCAAAUGCUGAAGCUCUCUUUAAAUGUCUAUGGGACAUCAAGAUCAAGAUGGUGUUCCAGAUAAUUGAGAAAACAACUUGUUCGUGCGGUUAGAGGUAUUCAAAGCUAGCUUUUACUGGCAUUCUCCUAUUACUGUGUGACAUAAUAAAUGUGUACAAAAUUUUGUGAAUCAUGAUCGGAAAGAAAUGCAGUUUUACAAUCAAGGGCAAAGAAGUAAUUUUCAUCCGAACAAAAACAGACACAGCUCAAUCUUCUCGGUUGUCUCCACUCAGAUCUGAUGAGUAAAAUUUCAGGUAAUAUUUUCUGUAAAAUUUGCCCUAAUCUUCAUCCAGAUUCUUCAUGGAUUGAUGCUUUCUUCUACCUUUUUUAAUCUAUUUCUUUUGUCAAAUAUUUUAUUUUUCUUCACACUUUUGAUCUCAUCAUCUCAUCAGGUUGUUUCGAUUGCAGGUUUAUUUUCUAGCAAAUUUCUACUAAUUAUUUACUUACUGACGAAUUAUUUAUGAUCUAAAAGUUAUGAUUGCUAUCGAAAAUUAUAUUUUUUGUCCAAGAUCCUCUCCAAGUAUGUAACUUUUGAGGUAUUUUUUGAGUGCUGUUAAAAGCUUAUAGGCCCCCCGUCUUAUAUUGUCCACACUCUCCAGGGGUGUUGGAGUUUCACAUCGGUGAGUUAAAGGGUCCUUGCUCUCCUUGUAUGGUCUUGGAUAAUUCUCCCCUCAUGAGCUAGCUUUUGAGGUUGAGUUAGGUCCAAGAUUCAUUCUUUACAGGACCUAAUGGUAUGUUGAAAUUGUAUAGAGAUUCCAGUUUUGAUUUAUGUUACUGAUUGUGUAUUUUAUUUGUUUCUAUUGGUUGUGUGUGAUCAGUGUGAAAUUGAAAAUUUUAGGUCGAAUGGUGUUUUUUUUAACUGCAUAAAGAUUCCAAUUUUUGCCUACUACUUGGUGGGGUUUGGGCAUGUGAAUAGGAGAUGUGUAGGUGUCCCAAAGUGGAGGUUUUAAAGGUCGAAGAAGUAUUGGGGAGAGGUAGAGGUAAGCCUAAGAAGUGUUGGGAGAUAUGAUAAGACAAAGAGCAUUUGAGUAUCUUUCUCCAUUCAUGUUCCCAACACAUGAUGUUCCUUUGCCAUCCCAUCUAACAUAACACAGCCCACCACACCUUACUAGAGAAGUCGCAGAUGAACAGUAAGUGUUGCAAGGUUUCAGGAUGUUCCCCACAUAAUACUCAAGUGCCACUGAUAGACAUGCCCCAUUGGAGCAAGAUAGUCUUAGUUCUCAGCUUCCCAAGUAGACUAAGCCACAAUGUGAAAGUAUGUUUUGGACAUGUUACAUUGCAACAUGUCAUUCCUUUCCAAGACUUGUGGAUGUAGUACUGGACGGUUUGACCAAUGGCAUUUCCUAUUCCUGCUUGUCAUACCAAGAGAAUGGGCCCACUGGGACAACAAUGCUUGCAAGUUUUGUCUGGUAUAGUGUCUGUAAGAUGUAUCUUUUCGGUGUUUCAACUGCCCUAAGUAUGAUUGUUGGUUCUUCUCCAGAAUUUGCACUCUACAGACACUUGAGCUUUUUAUAUUUUCCAUUAAUUAUCAUCAAACAAUUUAACCAAAAAAAUUGCAUUAUCGCAGUUUCGAGUUAUGGAAACAAACUCUUUCUGAAAUAAAGGGUAAGGUUCAUACAAUAGACCCUUGUGAUCCGUCUCUUUAUAAGAUCCUGCACAUAGCUGGAGUUUAGUGACCGAUUUGUCCAACGACAUUAUCAAAAUGGAUACCCUAAGGAAUUGGUUUCUGUAAUUCAUAAAGUAAUUGUAACAUUCGAUAAUGGAAGCAGAAGUUCCGAUAAGGAGCUACAGAAAAAUCCAGAAAUACCGCUCCUGGAAUUUGAACCUGUUUUUCUCUUAUACUAAGGGGGUUCAGAAAUCUUAUACAUGUAUGAAAAGUUUUUUCUAACUCGAUUUACACUGUCCUUUCCGGUGAAGGAGACUCAAUACCCCUUCAUUGCAUGUGGCUCCUGCACUGGUAGCAUUGCCAACUUUUUAAAUUUUAAUAGUGAUGAUAAUAUUUAAAAUUCAAACUCUUUUCUUAAUUUACAUUCAUGAAAUAUCAAUGUCACCUGUAAGUUCUUCUCUUUCAAUACUUUCACUUCCCCAUCUCUUCUUUUCUCAAAUUCUCCAUGUAAUCACGCCCAAUUGCAUUAUCGGCAAGGAUGAAACUUAGCACUGUGUAUUUUCGUUAUUAAUUAAUGUUGAUUUAUUUUUGUAAAGGUGAUAGAAAACUUCUCAUGUGUAGCUGUCGUUGAACUUGCAAAGGCCGAGUCUAAGCUCAGCAUUAUAGCUUCGCAUCAUAAGCAAUUGACGGAUGCAUAUUACAAGCUUUGACAUUAAAUAUCGUUGAACCAGUUAAGGCAGAUAUUGAAUGUUGCAGUGUUGUAUUUUGACAUGAAGUGAUGUGCAGAAACGCAAGUUAUGAUAUGCAAGCAGUCACGAAAUACGACGAUCCAAGAGUCAUGUAUCAUUCUUGCUAUGUUUUGCUUAUAAACAAAUAUUCUUUUGACGUAUAUUUUUAAUUUUCUAUUUUUAUUUUCCUCUGACUUUAAUUUGUGUGUUGCCAAUUUUAAGUGUCAUUUGAAACUUAUGAAACAACAUUUACUGCAAGAAUGAAUUAUACUACUUAUGAUCUCAA